CUGCUGUUACAAAACCCACAGAAAAUUUUCAGCUGUUCUACCUCACUCAUUUGGGGUUAAAAACCCCAAAUAAUUGAUUGGCAAGUGAAGGCAAAGCAAAUGAUGGAGAGGGCUGUCAAAACCAGGCGUUAUUUUUGUCUCGGGAUCCUGAACACAUCAGAAGCUCCUUCCCUGCCUGUGGAAUUGUGCUCUCCUCUUGAAUGCUCUGUUCCUUCUGGCUGGGGAGAGAAUCAGGCACAGCCUGCUGGGCUUGGCUGGUGUUUUAUUGCCUCAGAGAUGGCUCUGCCACCUCGCUGUGACCCAUGGCUCCCAGAUCCGCUCCCAGGACGGGCUCCUUCCUAAUCCAGCAGAGAUUUCACCAGCAUGGAUCUGAGUUUUGUUCCAGAAAGAACAGCAGAGGACACCCCAGAACUCAGCAAGUGUUGGCUCUGUGCCGUAAUCCCUCUUUGUGUCUGUCACAAAGAGAUCCUGCGAGGGGCUGGGAUUCCGCUGCCGAAUCCCCAAUCCCUGCGGCAGACCGAGGUGCCAGAGCUGCCAAACUUCCCCUCGUCCCUGUGCCAUGGAGGGGUUUGGUUUCAUUGAAAUUCCCUGAGAUCGGUGAUAAAUGGGAUGUGCUGAGUGGGAUCGUGAUGGUUCAAGAGCGUGGGGAAAAGCAAAAAUGCUUCCAGCAGGCUGGAAAAUAUCCCUGGAGCAGGAUCCCCAGGCAGUAGGAAGUGCAAAAGGAAGCAAAGAUGCUGCGUUUGGCUUCUGCAAAUGGAAGAGGCAGGGAAUUGCUGUGAAUUCCAGCAGGGAAUUGCUGUGAACUCCUUCCCUUCAGACUGGUCCAGGAGAACUGCUCAGGAAAGUUGUGAAUUGUUUUAAUGCCAGAUCUGUGUUCAGCUCCUGUUUCCCAGCUUAUUGACCCUUCCAAAAGCCAUCCCAAAAAUAAAACCUGGAUGGAAAGAAAGGGGAGAAGGGAU
RNAcentral lists this long non-coding RNA (959 nucleotides) under Cyanistes caeruleus (blue tit). RNAcentral describes it as "lncRNA (ENSCCEG00000017225.1)". The record is from RNAcentral. Lineage: Eukaryota; Metazoa; Chordata; Aves; Passeriformes; Paridae.